Molecule: ribosomal RNA, 325 nt
Filed under: Salmonella enterica subsp. enterica serovar Paratyphi B var. L(+) tartrate +
Lineage: Bacteria; Pseudomonadati; Pseudomonadota; Gammaproteobacteria; Enterobacterales; Enterobacteriaceae
Description: partial 23S ribosomal RNA
Rfam family: Bacterial large subunit ribosomal RNA
Source: RNAcentral
UCCUCCAAGGCUAAAUACUCCUGACUGACCGAUAGUGAACCAGUACCGUGAGGGAAAGGCGAAAAGAACCCCGGCGAGGGGAGUGAAAAAGAACCUGAAACCGUGUACGUACAAGCAGUGGGAGCACCCUUUGGGGUGUGACUGCGUACCUUUUGUAUAAUGGGUCAGCGACUUAUAUUCUGUAGCAAGGUUAACCGAAUAGGGGAGCCGGAGGGAAACCGAGUCUUAACCGGGCGUUAAGUUGCAGGGUAUAGACCCGAAACCCGGUGAUCUAGCCAUGGGCAGGUUGAAGGUUGGGUAACACUAACUGGAGGACCGAACCGAC